CCCGCCGUAGUUCAAUGGAUAGAACGGGCGCCUCCUCAGCGCCAGAUACAGGUUCGAUUCCUGUCGGAGGGACCA
RNAcentral lists this transfer RNA (75 nucleotides) under Rubrivivax sp. Its description in RNAcentral is "tRNA-Arg". It matches the Rfam family "tRNA". Rfam says of the family: Transfer RNA (tRNA) molecules are approximately 80 nucleotides in length. The record is from RNAcentral. Lineage: Bacteria; Pseudomonadati; Pseudomonadota; Betaproteobacteria; Burkholderiales; Sphaerotilaceae.